UUUCUUCUCUUCCUCUUCUAGUCUACUGAGGAGUCUCUUAGAUCUGGUCUAUAUGAGAUUUAAUUGAAGGAAACCAGCCCAUCACGCACAAUGCAUAUAUCCCAUUGCUUAUUCUUCUUCUAACUAAGAUCUUAGUCUUUGAUUAGCGUUUAUGCAAGAUCUCAGAGUCUUUGAAGAACCCACGCAAAAACGGAGCAACCAUCGGCGUCGUUUUGAUGUUGAUCAGUUAAUCGAUUUGUUUUUUUUUCUUUGUAAAAAUCAGAUUUGUUAGCUAUUUUGUUCAAUUGAUAACUAUAUAAGCGUGGAGCUCUUUGUUUAGUUUA
Rosa chinensis is the source of this 323-nucleotide long non-coding RNA. RefSeq lists it as uncharacterized. The record is from RefSeq and is a predicted model, not a curated record. The transcript has 2 exons. Lineage: Eukaryota; Viridiplantae; Streptophyta; Magnoliopsida; Rosales; Rosaceae.